This is a non-coding RNA of Triticum aestivum (bread wheat), 135 nucleotides long. Lineage: Eukaryota; Viridiplantae; Streptophyta; Magnoliopsida; Poales; Poaceae. The record is from Rfam.
UAAAUACUCCCUCCGUCCCAAAAUUCUUGUCUUAGAUUUGUCUAGAUACGGAUGUAUCAAGUCACGUUUUAGUAUUAGAUACAUCCGUAUCUAGACAAAUUUGAGACAAGAAUUUUGGGACGGAGGGAGUAAUCA